GGGCCCAAGCCAGCCAGGGAGGAGGAGGCAGCCAGAGUGGCCACCACUGUUCUCUGCAGCAGAAGAGCCCUUGCUGCCAGAUGAGUGAAGCAUCAGGAAGGCUUGCACCACUGCUGAAGUCGUGCCCAUGACAUUCAUCCAACUUCGUUUCACACAACACUCUAAAUCUCAUUGAUUCUGCAGACUGGAGAAAGAGCUGGAUUUUCUUGUUCCAUUC
Long non-coding RNA from Hemicordylus capensis (graceful crag lizard), 217 nucleotides. RefSeq lists it as uncharacterized. Lineage: Eukaryota; Metazoa; Chordata; Lepidosauria; Squamata; Cordylidae. The record is from RefSeq and is a predicted model, not a curated record. The transcript has 3 exons.